Molecule: ribosomal RNA, 404 nt
Filed under: uncultured prokaryote
Description: bacterial SSU rRNA
Rfam family: Bacterial small subunit ribosomal RNA
Source: RNAcentral
UGGGGAAUAUUGGGCAAUGGGGGAAACCCUGACCCAGCGACGCCGCGUGAAGGAAGACGGCCUUCGGGUUGUAAACUUCUUUUGUAUGGGAAGAAGAAUGUGACGGUACCAUACGAAUAAGUCCCGGCUAACUACGUGCCAGCAGCCGCGGUAAUACGUAGGGGACGAGCGUUGUCCGGAAUUACUGGGCGUAAAGGGCGCGCAGGCUGUUUGAUAAGUCAGCUGUUAAAUGUUAGGGCUUAACCCUUACCAGCGGUUGAAACUAUCAGACUGGAGUGCGGUAGAGGCAAGUGGAAUUCCCAGUGUAGCGGUGAAAUGCGUAGAUAUUGGGAAGAACACCGGUGGCGAAGGCGACUUGCUGGGCAGCAACUGACGCUGAGGCGCGAAAGCCAGGGGAGCAAACG